UAGGAGACGGUGUAGCUUAGAGGUAGAGAGCCUGCCUAGCAAGCACUUGACCCCGGGUUCUAAUCCCGGGUAGGUCCUAUGAUCCUGAGUUCUAAUCCCGGGUAGGUCCUAGGGUGCAAUGCCAUAUGGUGUAAUGCCAUAUGCGGUAGGAAUAUCAAACCCAUGGCUUCUCCAUAUAUUUUUUU
Rana temporaria (common frog) is the source of this 185-nucleotide long non-coding RNA. RefSeq lists it as uncharacterized. The record is from RefSeq and is a predicted model, not a curated record. NCBI's taxonomy places the organism in Eukaryota, Metazoa, Chordata, Amphibia, Anura, Ranidae. The transcript has 2 exons.